Molecule: ribosomal RNA, 408 nt
Filed under: uncultured bacterium
Lineage: Bacteria
Description: partial 16S ribosomal RNA
Rfam family: Bacterial small subunit ribosomal RNA
Source: RNAcentral
GACGAACGCUGGCGGCGUGCUUAACACAUGCAAGUCGAACGAAGUGGCGAACGGGUGAGUAAUGCGUAAUCAACCUGCCCUUCAGAGGGGAACAACAGUUGGAAACGACUGCUAAUACCGCAUACUGAAGGUGGGGAUUGCGUCGGAUUAGCUAGUUGGAGGGGUAACGGCCCACCAAGGCGAUGAUCAGUAGCCGGUCUGGGAGGGUGAACGGCCAAAUUGGGACUGAGACACGGCCCAGACUCCUACGGGAGGCAGCAGUGGGGAAUCUUCCGCAAUGGACGAAAGUCUGACGAAGCAACGCCGCGUGAGUGAUGACGGCCUUCGGGUUGUAAAGCUCUGUUAAUCGGGACGCGGUACCGGAAGAGAAAGCCACGGCUAACUACGUGCCAGCAGCCGCGGUAAUUC